GGGCCAUAAAAGUGCAUCUAAUCACCGUAUUGUAUAGGAUGUGUAGUAUAAAUACUUCUGUGCAUUAUAAGCUUUGAAAUUAUUGUUUAUCGAUCGAAUUUGAUCCAUUAUUUACAUAGAUUUCAAAUACUAAAGAAAACGUAAAUCUUAAAUGGACAUAUAUGUCCUCUUGGGACUCGGUCGGUGGUGGACGUAUAUGUCCGCUUGGGACUCAGAGGGUUAA
This 223-nucleotide long non-coding RNA is filed under the name Mytilus galloprovincialis (Mediterranean mussel). Lineage: Eukaryota; Metazoa; Mollusca; Bivalvia; Mytilida; Mytilidae. The record is from RNAcentral.